AUUGAACGCUGGCGGCAUGCUUUACACAUGCAAGUCGAACGGCAGCGCGGGCUUCGGCCUGGCUGCGAGUGGCGAACGGGUGAGUAAUGCAUCGGAACGUGCCCAGUAGUGGGGGAUAGCCCGGCGAACGCCGGAUUAAUACCUCAUACGACCUGAGGGUGAAAGCGGGGGACCGAAAGGCCUCGCGCUAUUGGAGCGGCCGAUGCCGGAUUAGCUAGUUGGUGGGGUAAAGGCUUACCAAGGCGACGAUCCGUAGCUGGUCUGAGAGGACGACCAGCCACACGGGGAGGGGGCCACGGCCCAGACUCCUGCGGGAGGGAGCAGUGGGGAAUUGUGGGCAAUGGGGGCAACCCUGAUACAGGCAUGCGGCGUGCGGGAAGAAGGCCUCCGGGUGGUAAACCGCUUUUGUUCGGGAAGAAAUCCUCUGGGCUAAUACCCCGGGGGGAUGACGGUACCGGAAGAAUAAGCACCGGCUAACUACGUG
This 484-nucleotide ribosomal RNA is filed under the name uncultured bacterium. RNAcentral's name for it is "partial 16S ribosomal RNA". It matches the Rfam family "Bacterial small subunit ribosomal RNA", at positions 28 to 507 of the family's 1533-position model. The record is from RNAcentral.